Molecule: ribosomal RNA, 774 nt
Filed under: uncultured Neocallimastigales
Lineage: Eukaryota; Fungi; Neocallimastigomycota; Neocallimastigomycetes; Neocallimastigales
Description: partial large subunit ribosomal RNA
Rfam family: Eukaryotic large subunit ribosomal RNA
Source: RNAcentral
CGCAUCUGUGCAUGCAGCAUAUCAAUAAGCGGAGGAAAAGAAACUAACAAGGAUUCCCCUAGUAACGGCGAGUGAAGCGGGAAGAGCUCAAAUUUGAAAUCUUAAAGGGUUUCCCUUUACGAAUUGUAGUUUAAAGAAGUGUUUUCUGUUGAGGUUUUGGUAAAAGUUCUUUGGAAUAGGACAUCAUAGAGGGUGAGAAUCCCGUAUUUGACCUUUACUUUCAACUUUGUGAUACACUUUCAAAGAGUCGGAUUGUUUGGGAAUGCAGUCCAAAAUGGGUGGUAAAUUUCAUCUAAAGCUAAAUAUUGGCGAGAGACCGAUAGCGAACAAGUACCGUGAGGGAAAGAUGAAAAGAACUUUGAAAAGAGAGUUAAACAGUACGUGAAAUUGUCAAAAGGGAAGCGUUUGACACCAGUGUUGUUUUUCUGAAAAUCAAUUAAAGAACUGUUUAUGCUAAGCUGUUUAGACUUUAUCAGCUAACUGUUUAGUUUUGAGCUUUUCUUUAAUGCACUUUUCAGUUAACAAGUCAACAUCAAUUUCUUUUGCUGUAAAAAAGCUUGAGGAAGGUGGCUUGAGAUUCGUCUUAAGUGUUUAUAGCCUCUUGCCUAUGCAGUCGGAGAGAUUGAGGUCUGCAGCGUAGAUCCUUCGGGGCUAAAUGCAUUUGUGCUAAGUUAUAGCAUUUUAUAGACAACUUGUUGACUAUGAUUUGUCUUGUAGCUUACUCGCUCAUGUUAUUUUACCUACGCUUAGGAUGUUGAGUCAUCACACAUCUCU